RNAcentral lists this ribosomal RNA (497 nucleotides) under uncultured bacterium. Its description in RNAcentral is "partial 16S ribosomal RNA". It matches the Rfam family "Bacterial small subunit ribosomal RNA", at positions 28 to 507 of the family's 1533-position model. The record is from RNAcentral.
GAUGAACGCUGGCGGCGUGCCUAAUACAUGCAAGUCGAGCGAACGGACGAGAAGCUUGCUCCUCUGACGUUAGCGGCGGACGGGUGAGUAACACGUGGAUAACCUACCUAUAAGACUGGGAUAACUUCGGGAAACCGGAGCUAAUACCGGAUAAUAUUUUGAACCGCAUGGUUCAAUAGUGAAAGACGGUUUUGCUGUCACUUAUAGAUGGAUCCGCGCUGCAUUAGCUAGUUGGUAAGGUAACGGCUUACCAAGGCAACGAUGCAUAGCCGACCUGAGAGGGUGAUCGGCCACACUGGAACUGAGACACGGUCCAGACUCCUACGGGAGGCAGCAGUAGGGAAUCUUCCGCAAUGGGCGAAAGCCUGACGGAGCAACGCCGCGUGAGUGAUGAAGGUCUUCGGAUCGUAAAACUCUGUUAUUAGGGAAGAACAUAUGUGUAAGUAACUGUGCACAUCUUGACGGUACCUAAUCAGAAAGCCACGGCUAACUACGUG